Molecule: ribosomal RNA, 484 nt
Filed under: uncultured bacterium
Lineage: Bacteria
Description: partial 16S ribosomal RNA
Rfam family: Bacterial small subunit ribosomal RNA
Source: RNAcentral
AUUGAACGCUGGCGGCAGGCCUAACACAUGCAAGUCGAGCGGAUGAAGGGAGCUUGCUCCUGGAUUCAGCGGCGGACGGGUGAGUAAUGCCUAGGAAUCUGCCUGGUAGUGGGGGAUAACGUCCGGAAACGGGCGCUAAUACCGCAUACGUCCUGAGGGAGAAAGUGGGGGAUCUUCGGACCUCACGCUAUCGGAUGAGCCUAGGUCGGAUUAGCUAGUUGGUGGGGUAAAGGCCUACCAAGGCGACGGUCCGUAACUGGUCUGAGAGGAUGAUCAGUCACACUGGAACUGAGACACGGUCCAGACUCCUACGGGAGGCAGCAGUGGGGAAUAUUGGACAAUGGGCGAAAGCCUGAUCCAGCCAUGCCGCGUGUGUGAAGAAGGUCUUCGGAUUGUAAAGCACUUUAAGUUGGGAGGAAGGGCAGUAAGUUAAUACCUUGCUGUUUUGACGUUACCAACAGAAUAAGCACCGGCUAACUUCGUG